UACGUAGGGUGCGAGCGUUAAUCGGAAUUACUGGGCGUAAAGCGUGCGUAGGCGGUUCGUUAAGUUCGUUGUGAAAGCCCCGGGCUCAACCUGGGAAUGGCAAUGGAAACUGGCGGGCUGGAGUAUGGCAGAGGGGGGUGGAAUUCCGCGUGUAGCAGUGAAAUGCGUAGAGAUGCGGAGGAACACCGAUGGCGAAGGCAGCCCCCUGGGCCAAUACUGACGCUCAGGCACGAAAGCGUGGGGAGCAAGCAGG
Molecule: ribosomal RNA, 253 nt
Filed under: uncultured bacterium
Lineage: Bacteria
Description: partial 16S ribosomal RNA
Rfam family: Bacterial small subunit ribosomal RNA
Source: RNAcentral